This 21-nucleotide non-coding RNA is filed under the name Caenorhabditis elegans. Lineage: Eukaryota; Metazoa; Nematoda; Chromadorea; Rhabditida; Rhabditidae. The record is from RNAcentral.
UUUGGAGCAGAUCUAAAAUCU